CCCUACUGCUAUCGGGGUGGGACUAAGACAUGCGAGUUGAGCGUCUCUAAGCCAUGGUAGAGACGCAGCGUACGGCUCAGUAACACGUGGCUAACCUACCCUUAGGACGGGGACAACCCCGGGAAACUGGGACUAAUACCCGAUAGGUGAGGAGGCCUGGAAUGGUUCUUAGUCGAAAAGGCGUUGAAACCAUGCUUUUCGACGUCGCCUAAGGAUGGGGCCGCGUCCGAUCAGGUUGUUGGUGGGGUAACGGCCCACCGAGCCUUUAACCGGUACGGGCCGUGAGAGCGGGAGCCCGGAGAUGGGCACUGAGACAAGGGCCCAGGCCCUACGGGGCGCAGCAGUCGCGAAAACUCCGCAAUGCGCGAAAGCGUGACGGGGCUACCCCGAGUGCCGUCCGCUGAGGAUGGCUUUUCCCCGGUGUAAUGAGCCGGGGGAAUAAGGAGAGGGCAAGACUGGUGUCAGCCGCCGCGGUAAUACCAGCUCUCCGAGUGGUAGGGAUGAUUAUUGGGCUUAAAGCGUCCGUAGCCGGCUUAGCAAGUCUCCUGUUAAAUUCAGCGACCUAAUCGUUGAGCCGCGGGAGAUACUACUAGGCUAGGAGGCGGGAGAGGCCGACGGUAUUCUCGGGGUAGGGGUGAAAUCCUAUAAUCCCGGGAGGACCACCAGUGGCGAAGGCUGUCGGCUAGAACGCGCUCGACGGUGAGGGACGAAAGCUGGGGGAGCGAACCGGAUUAGAUACCCGGGUAGUCCCAGCCGUAAACGAUGCGGGCUAGGUGUUGGGGUGGCUACGAGCCACUUCAGUGCCGCAGGGAAGCCAUUAAGCCCGCCGCCUGGGGAGUACGGCCGCAAGGCUGAAACUUAAAGGAAUUGGCGGGGGAGCACCACAAGGCGUGAAGCUUGCGGUUC
RNAcentral lists this ribosomal RNA (906 nucleotides) under uncultured archaeon. RNAcentral describes it as "bacterial SSU rRNA". It matches the Rfam family "Archaeal small subunit ribosomal RNA", at positions 21 to 903 of the family's 1478-position model. The record is from RNAcentral.